GCCGCGCAGGGGCACUCUGUCAGUGGCGGACGGGUGAGUAACGCGUAGGUAUCUAUCCUGAGGUGGGGGACAACCGUGGGAAACUACGGCUAAUACCGCAUGAUGCCUGAGGGCCAAAGGCGUAAGUCGCCUUGGGAGGAGCCUGCGUCCGAUUAGCUUGUUGGUGGGGUAAUGGCCUACCAAGGCUCCGAUCGGUAGCUGGUCUGAGAGGAUGAUCAGCCACACUGGGACUGAGACACGGCCCAGACUCCUACGGGAGGCAGCAGUAGGGAAUAUUGGACAAUGGGCGAAAGCCUGAUCCAGCAAUGCCGCGUGGGUGAAGAAGGUCUUCGGAUUGUAAAGCCCUUUCGGCGGGGACGAUGAUGACGGUACCCGCAGAAGAAGCCCCGGCUAACUUCGUGCCAGCAGCCGCGGUAAU
Molecule: ribosomal RNA, 418 nt
Filed under: uncultured bacterium
Lineage: Bacteria
Description: bacterial SSU rRNA
Rfam family: Bacterial small subunit ribosomal RNA
Source: RNAcentral